GAUGAACGCUGGCGGCGUGCUUAACACAUGCAAGUCGAACGGAAAGGCUCCUGCUUGCAGGGGUACUCGAGUGGCGAACGGGUGAGUAACACGUGGGUGAUCUGCCCUGCACUUCGGGAUAAGCCUGGGAAACUGGGUCUAAUACCGGAUAGGACGAUGGCUUGGAUGCCAUUGUGGAAAGCUUUUCGGUGUGGGAUGAGCUCGCGGCCUAUCAGCUUGUUGGUGGGGUAAUGGCCUACCAAGGCGUCGACGGGUAGCCGGCCUGAGAGGGUGUACGGCCACAUUGGGACUGAGAUACGGCCCAGACUCCUACGGGAGGCAGCAGUGGGGAAUAUUGCACAAUGGGCGCAAGCCUGAUGCAGCGACGCCGCGUGGGGGAUGACGGCCUUCGGGUUGUAAACUCCUUUCGCUAGGGACGAAGCGCAAGUGACGGUACCUGGAGAAGAAGCACCGGCUAACUACGUG
This 465-nucleotide ribosomal RNA is filed under the name uncultured bacterium. RNAcentral describes it as "partial 16S ribosomal RNA". It matches the Rfam family "Bacterial small subunit ribosomal RNA", at positions 28 to 507 of the family's 1533-position model. The record is from RNAcentral.